Molecule: long non-coding RNA, 524 nt
Filed under: Elaeis guineensis (African oil palm)
Lineage: Eukaryota; Viridiplantae; Streptophyta; Magnoliopsida; Arecales; Arecaceae
Description: long non-coding RNA (EGUI_LNC025341)
Source: RNAcentral
GAUCAGUCUGUGCGGCGUGAGGUGUGCGAUAGAGUGGCUGAAUAUUUACUCGUGUCGAGGAUGAAGAAAAAGGAGGCUGGAACAGUAGUGAGCGCACAGCGAUGCUAUGCCUCAGUCCUCAGCCUACUCGCUUUUUGUUGUUUUCAAGUCUGGAAGUCAGAUUCCAGCAGCCCCAUGGCCCCCACUUGAGCUUUCCUCCGUGAAAGCCACUCCAUCGCCGUAAAGAAAGAUUUUUGUUGGGACGUGUUGUGUACAUAUGUUAAGGUUAUGGACACCUUUUCCUCUCCACCGUCGCAAGGUAUUGUCCGCUUUCCCCGACGGCGCCGCCCUACGGGCCACACGCGAUCGACAAGGUAUUGUCCGCUUUCCUCGACGGUGCCGCCCUACGGGCCGCACGCGAUCGACAGGUCACGGUUUUGUCCCAUCUACCCCUCUGGGCAAAAGGCACCUCACGAGGUAAGAGGCGGGCCGCACUACUUAAGCACAUGCACACACCAGAGUUGCCCGAUGUGGGACUAUUAAGG